RNAcentral lists this ribosomal RNA (298 nucleotides) under uncultured Sphingomonadaceae bacterium. Its description in RNAcentral is "partial 16S ribosomal RNA". It matches the Rfam family "Bacterial small subunit ribosomal RNA", at positions 111 to 426 of the family's 1533-position model. Lineage: Bacteria; Pseudomonadati; Pseudomonadota; Alphaproteobacteria; Sphingomonadales; Sphingomonadaceae. The record is from RNAcentral.
UAACGCGUGGGAAUCUGCCCUGUGGUACGGAAUAACAUCGGGAAACUGGUGCUAAUACCGUAUAUCCCCUGAGGGGGAAAGAUUUAUCGCCAUGGGAGGAGCCCGCGUAGGAUUAGCUAGUUGGUGAGGUAACGGCUCACCAAGGCGACGAUCCUUAGCUGGUCUGAGAGGAUGAUCAGCCACACUGGGACUGAGAUACGGCCCAGACUCCUACGGGAGGCAGCAGUGGGGAAUAUUGGACAAUGGGGGAAACCCUGAUCCAGCCAUGCCGCGUGAGUGAUGAAGGCCUUAGGGUUGU